Molecule: ribosomal RNA, 520 nt
Filed under: uncultured Glomus
Lineage: Eukaryota; Fungi; Glomeromycota; Glomeromycetes; Glomerales; Glomeraceae
Description: bacterial SSU rRNA
Rfam family: Eukaryotic small subunit ribosomal RNA
Source: RNAcentral
AGCAGCCGCGGUAAUUCCAGCUCCAAUAGCGUAUAUUAAAGUUGUUGCAGUUAAAAGCUCGUAGUUGAAUUUCGGGAUCAAUUUGCUGGUCGGAACCUCUGGUACGUACUGGUAUUAUUGAUUUCUUUCAUUCUGAUAGAUCAUGGAUGUCAUUAAUUUGAUGACUUUGAGGAAUCGGAACUUUUACUUUGAAAAAAUUAGAGUGUUUAAAGCAGGCUUAUCAGGCUUGAAUACAUUAGCAUGGAAUAAUGAAAUAGGACGAUUGAUCCUAUUUUUGUUGGUUUCUAGGAUUGACGUAAUGAUUAAUAGGGAUAGUUGGGGGCAUUAGUAUUCAAUUGUCAGAGGUGAAAUUCUUGGAUUUAUUGAAGACUAACUACUGCGAAAGCAUUUUGCCAAGGAUGUUUUCAUUAAUCAAGAACGAAAGUUAGGGGAUCGAAGACGAUCAGAUACCGUCGUAGUCUUAACCAUAAACUAUGCCGACUAGGGAUCGGAUGAUGUUAAUUUUUUCAAUGACUCAUUC